UCGUAAAACUCUGUUGUUAGAGAAGAACAAGGACGUUAGUAACUGAACGUCCCCUGACGGUAUCUAACCAGAAAGCCACGGCUAACUACGUGCCAGCAGCCGCGGUAAUACGUAGGUGGCAAGCGUUGUCCGGAUUUAUUGGGCGUAAAGCGAGCGCAGGCGGUUUCUUAAGUCUGAUGUGAAAGCCCCCGGCUCAACCGGGGAGGGUCAUUGGAAACUGGGAGACUUGAGUGCAGAAGAGGAGAGUGGAAUUCCAUGUGUAGCGGUGAAAUGCGUAGAUAUAUGGAGGAACACCAGUGGCGAAGGCGGCUCUCUGGUCUGUAACUGACGCUGAGGCUCGAAAGCGUGGGGAGCAAACAGGAUUAGAUACCCCUGUAGUC
RNAcentral lists this ribosomal RNA (380 nucleotides) under Clostridioides difficile. RNAcentral's name for it is "bacterial SSU rRNA". It matches the Rfam family "Bacterial small subunit ribosomal RNA", at positions 423 to 795 of the family's 1533-position model. Lineage: Bacteria; Bacillati; Bacillota; Clostridia; Peptostreptococcales; Peptostreptococcaceae. The record is from RNAcentral.